Molecule: ribosomal RNA, 450 nt
Filed under: uncultured bacterium
Lineage: Bacteria
Description: partial 16S ribosomal RNA
Rfam family: Bacterial small subunit ribosomal RNA
Source: RNAcentral
GUGGGGAAUUUUGGACAAUGGGCGAAAGCCUGAUCCAGCCAUGCCGCGUGCAGGAUGAAGGCCUUCGGGUUGUAAACUGCUUUUGUACGGAACGAAAAGACUCCUUCUAAUAAAGGGGGUCCAUGACGGUACCGUAAGAAUAAGCACAGGCUAACUACGUGCCAGCAGCCGCGGUAAUACGUAGGGUGCAAGCGUUAAUCGGAAUUACUGGGCGUAAAGCGUGCGCAGGCGGUUAUAUAAGACAGAUGUGAAAUCCCCGGGCUCAACCUGGGAACUGCAUUUGUGACUGUAUAGCUAGAGUACGGUAGAGGGGGAUGGAAUUCCGCGUGUAGCAGUGAAAUGCGUAGAUAUGCGGAGGAACACCGAUGGCGAAGGCAAUCCCCUGGACCUGUACUGACGCUCAUGCACGAAAGCGUGGGGAGCAAACAGGAUUAGAUACCCUUGUAGUCC